UACGUAGGGUGCAAGCGUUGUCCGGAAUUAUUGGGCGUAAAGAGCUCGUAGGCGGCUUGUCACGUCGACUGUGAAAACCCGGGGCUCAACUCCGGGCCUGCAGUCGAUACGGGCUGGCUUGAGUGCGGUAGGGGAGACUGGAAUUCCUGGUGUAGCGGUGAAAUGCGCAGAUAUCGGGAAGAACACCCGUGGCUAAGGCGGCUCUCUAGUACGGUACUGACGCUGAGACGCGAAAGCGUGGGGAGCGAACAGG
This 253-nucleotide ribosomal RNA is filed under the name uncultured bacterium. RNAcentral's name for it is "partial 16S ribosomal RNA". It matches the Rfam family "Bacterial small subunit ribosomal RNA", at positions 524 to 776 of the family's 1533-position model. The record is from RNAcentral.